This is a long non-coding RNA of Homo sapiens (human), 1266 nucleotides long. Ensembl annotates it as arylacetamide deacetylase pseudogene 1. Its record names the gene AADACP1. Lineage: Eukaryota; Metazoa; Chordata; Mammalia; Primates; Hominidae. The record is from Ensembl.
AUGUUUCAAACAAGUAUUUGCUGUGUUGCCAAAGUAGAAAGAGCAGAAGGGAAACAUCAUGGGAAGAAAGACUAUUUUGUUUCUGAUUGCAGGGGUCCUUGGGGCAUAUUAUGUUUAUACUCCUCUCUCAGAUAAUAUUGAGGAACUCUGGUGACUGGUGUGGAUAGCUACACCUGUGAAAAUGGUAACAAAUUUGCUCAUAGAAGACCCAGAUGUCAAGAUCAAACUCAAGCUUCAGUCUUUAAUAUAUCCUGCCCUUCAGACGCUUGACAUGGAUUUACUAUCACAUCAGAAAAAACUAGACUCUCUAGUUCUGUCCAAACCAUUCAUGGUCAGGUUCUGUAGGGAAUACUUUACCACAGACAGAUCACUUGAAAAAGUCAUGUUCUUCAACAUGUACCAAUGGAAUCAAACCAUCUGUUCAGAUUUGUUAAUUGGAGUUCCUUGCUCACUGAGAAGUUUAAGAAAGGCCACUUUUGUUAUAUUCCAACUCGUGGUAGUUCUGAGCUAGCUAAAAAAUAUCCAGGGUUCCUAGAUGUGAGGGCAGCCCCUUUGUUGGCCAAUGACAAGUUACAUGGUUUACCCCUGUCCUAUAUCAUCACCUGUCAAUAUGACAUCUUAAGAGAUGAUGGACUCAUGUACAUCACGCGACUUUAGAACUCUGGAGUUCAAGUGACACAUAACCACAGUGAAGAUGGAUUCCAUGGAGCACUUUCCUAUAAUGGGCUUAAAAUUGAGUAUGGAAUAGAAAAUCAGUAUAUGAGUUGGCUAAGUGAAAAUCUAUAGUAAAAAUGUAAGCAAUGGUUUAUUUAAAAUGUAUAAGGCUCAGAACAGGAAACAAAUUAGUGAAAAUCAAAGGGUUGAUGUUUGAAUUGGUCUUUAUCAUCUGUGACCUUUCUAAGGUCCUCAUAGCCAUAGUGGGUUUUGGUUUUGUUUUUAUUUAUUGGCCGCUAGCAAAUUCUUCUCCAUUUUAUUUAUUAUCCUGUUAUUCACUCACUUCUGUGAAGAUACUUUAGUAUUUUCUUCUGCUACCAUUACUCACUUGUUAAAUCUCUAGUUUACAGCUAUAGUUUUUUGAUUGCCGAAUAGUAUUACAGAUGAGAAGAAAGUUUUAAACAAACACGUCUGAUUUGUAAAAUGCCAGUUUUAGUCAACAUGAAUUUAGAGACUUAAAAUGUUUCCCUGUGAGAACUGAUAUGAAAUAUGUGCCAUCUCUUUUAAAAAGCAUUUGCCUCAAUAUAAUGCUGUUUGCCUGUCACUGUAAAA